This 451-nucleotide small RNA is filed under the name Arabidopsis thaliana (thale cress). RNAcentral describes it as "ATSL072940". The record is from RNAcentral. Lineage: Eukaryota; Viridiplantae; Streptophyta; Magnoliopsida; Brassicales; Brassicaceae.
AUAUUUUGCGACUUUUAAAGAUUCUCGAUGUCGGCUGCUCGAAGCCUCCUUCACUCACUCUCACGACUUUUGCAGCCUCUCCCGACCAACCCUACCACUCUUUCAUUCUUUUUUCCUUUUCUUUUUAUUGUCACUUUGCGUAUUUUUUUGUUUCAAUUUUAACCUUUUUCUGUUUCUUAUUAAUUCACAUAGAUCAUAUUAUGUUUUUAUUUUGAUUGUCAUGUUGGACAAAUCACACACUUCAUAUCGUUUAUUUUCUCCAAUGUCCAAAUAUAGAUUAUGUGGUUCAUUACUCACUCGAAAUGACACUAGUAUCUCAGUGAGAUGCGCAACUAUGACGGAAUGAUAACUUAGUUAUUUUUUUGUUUAACGAGAUUUUAUUUUUAAUCCGAAAUCCAUAAAUUGGACUACAUAAUAUCAAAACACAACCCAUGUAAAGUAAAACAAAUGU